ACCUGGCUGGCUCAGUUGGUGGAGCAUGUGACUCUUGAUCUCAGGGUCAUGAGUUCGAGCCCCAUAUUGGGCG
RNAcentral lists this transfer RNA (73 nucleotides) under Felis catus (domestic cat). It matches the Rfam family "tRNA". Rfam says of the family: Transfer RNA (tRNA) molecules are approximately 80 nucleotides in length. Their secondary structure includes four short double-helical elements and three loops (D, anti-codon, and T loops). Further hydrogen bonds mediate the characteristic L-shaped molecular structure. tRNAs have two regions of fundamental functional importance: the anti-codon, which is responsible for specific mRNA codon recognition, and the 3' end, to which the tRNAs corresponding amino acid is attached (by aminoacyl-tRNA synthetases). tRNAs cope with the degeneracy of the genetic code in two manners: having more than one tRNA (with a specific anti-codon) for a particular amino acid; and 'wobble' base-pairing, i.e. permitting non-standard base-pairing at the 3rd anti-codon position. Lineage: Eukaryota; Metazoa; Chordata; Mammalia; Carnivora; Felidae. The record is from Rfam by way of RNAcentral.